This is a non-coding RNA of Oncorhynchus mykiss (rainbow trout), 2616 nucleotides long. NCBI's taxonomy places the organism in Eukaryota, Metazoa, Chordata, Actinopteri, Salmoniformes, Salmonidae. The record is from RefSeq and is a predicted model, not a curated record.
UGUCUAGUUCACAACACAACUCUGGAGAGACUGUCUAGUCCACAACACAACUCUGGAGUGACUGUCUAGUCCACAACACAACUCUGGAGAGACUGUCUAGUCCACAACACAACUCUGGAGAGACUGUCUAGUUCACAACUCUGGAGUGACUGUCUAGUCCACAACACAACUCUGGAGAGACUGUCUAGUCCACAACUCAACUCUGGAGCGACUGUCUAGUCCACAACUCAACUCUGGAGAGACUGUCUAGUCCACAACACAACUCUGGAGAGACUGUCUAGUCCACAACACAACUCUGGAGAGACUGUCUAUUCCACAACACAACUCUGGAGAGACUGUCUAGUCCACAACACAACUCUGGAGAGACUGUCUAGUCCACAACACAACUCUGGAGUGACUGUCUAGUCCACAACACAACUCUGGAGAGACUGUCUAGUCCACAACACAGUGAGAAGCAGCAUCUCAACCUUCUUAGCUGUCUGGAACGACUCCUGCUUCCCGCCAUCUCAUUAAAAGUGUCUUUGGAAAAUGUGUGAACAUCAUAUACUCCUGCUUCCUGCUUCCUGCUUCCUGGCCUUUUCUUAUUCAUUUAUUCUGAUGUCUUUUACAGUUUUAUAGUUUUAAGAUGUUGUUUUUAAUGAUGAGCCUGGGAAAACCAAAAAUGAUGUAUCGGAAGUUUGGGGAAGAACUACUGAUUUGGAAGGUUAAAUUAGGUUAGGUUAAAUUAGGUUAGGUUAAAUUAGGUUAGGUUAAAUUAGGUUAGGUUAAAUUAGGUUAAGUUAAAUUAGGUUAAGUUAGGCUAGGUUAAGUUAGGUUAGGUUGUUAGGCUAAGUUAGGCUAGGGCAACAUUCCAAAUGGCACUUAAUCCCUACAUAGUGCACUAGUUUUGACCAGAGCUCUGUGGCCACUGGUCAAAAUGAGUGUACUAUAUAGGGAAUAGGGUGCCAUUUGGGACACCACCUAGGUUAUACAAGCUAGAGUCCCAGUUAGGACUGUGUGGUGGUGAUGGGGGAUGGGCUGGAGCCUGGGCUGGGUACCUUGUAUACUAUAGCAUACUGCUGCUUGGCUGUGCCAGCAUGUCUAGAAGUUAAACCUUUCAUUGUCGAAUCAAGUGCCUUCAGUUGUAUUGUUUUGAGAGAAUAAGAGGGGAAAACAAAGGAACGCCAAGUUUUCUGUAUUGUAGUGUAUUGUAGUGUAUUGUAGUGUAUGUAUUGUAGUGUAUUGUGUAUCGUGACUUCAAGCAUUAAUGAUGUAUCGUAGAAAUGGUAUCAUUGACGAACAAACCACACUUCCCUCUACUUCCCCGAUGUUUCAUAAUCAAAAGUGUACUUCUAUUGUUAAAGGUUUUAUAAAAACGUGUUAUCACGAUGUUCUUUUCAAUCCUAGCCUCUUUAUUUUCCCUGUCUCAUUCAAGCCUGAUUCGCGGUUGCUUUGUUCCUGAUCUUUUACUAGUCUUCUGUGUUUCUUAGGUUAUUACAGGAUGGAUAAUAGAUCAAACAGAUUCUUGUUUUUUUUUACUUUAGGUUUUUUGUUGUUGUUGGAUUGAUAUGUUUGUUUUUUAAAUCACUAAAUGACGUGGACAUCUUUUACAGAGAAACAGACCGAUUCCAUUACGAGUUGUCUCUCACCAGUUAGGGUUUUUAACUGGACAAGUUUGGUAAUGAUUUAAUGUAGUUGUAACCUUUUCCAUCACACGCUCUGCUUUCAUUCUUUCACUAUUACGUUAAGAUAUUCCUAAUCAAUACCCCCCCCCCCCCCCCCCCCCCCCCCAACAAAUAAAUUCUAACUUGAAAGAAGAACAAAAGGCACUUUGGAUCAAUAAGGGCUUGUUUGAUAUACCUGCAUCCUGAAUGGCACCCUAUUCCCUACACAGUGCACUACUAUAUAAUGGGAAUAGGGUGCAUUUUAGGAGCCAGCCAUUGUCUCCCUGUCUGAAAGGCAGUCUACAGAUAUCCUUUACUGCCCUGUUGUAGACCUGCUGUGCUGCUGAAACAAGAUGGUGGUUAGGACCUGUUUUAUCUGGUGAGAAGAGCAUGUCAUGACGGUUAGAGAGGUAAAGGUUAGAGGUCACAGCCGGGGUUUGAUUUGAAUCAAUGGUAAAUGUGAGUUACAGUAUGUUGGCUUUAGUUGGUGUACAGGUAGAAUUUCUCCUUAUGAAAAAACAACCAGCUAUGGUUUUAUAGUCAGGAAUUGUUGUGAUGUGACAGAUUCCAAAGAGUUAUUUUUUUUAUUUUUUUUCUAGUGUUUCUUCUUUCAACUGAUACUGAAUCUAAUUUCACGAGCGGAAAAAAAACCCUAAAUGAUUUGUUAUUAUCAAUCUCUGUCCAUCUGUCUACCUAUAUAUACACAUGUACGUAUGUAUAAGCUAAUGAGAAUAUGUCAAUUAGGUUAGGGUUUCAAGGUAACCGAGGUGUCUAGACGGUCAUUGUGAUGAACAAAACUGAGGAUUCUAAAGGAUUCUAGAAGUUCUAGAAUAGAACAGACAAGUACGUGAUUCUUCCGGAAUGAUUUCUGUCACGUGUUUGACAUUCUGACAACACAACAACAACGUUGGUGAUCCACUACAGUGACUUAUCUUGUUAAAGUUUGGUGGUUGAAUAAAUGAUGUAUUUGUCA